Molecule: ribosomal RNA, 528 nt
Filed under: Flavobacterium sp.
Lineage: Bacteria; Pseudomonadati; Bacteroidota; Flavobacteriia; Flavobacteriales; Flavobacteriaceae
Description: bacterial SSU rRNA
Rfam family: Bacterial small subunit ribosomal RNA
Source: RNAcentral
AUGCAGUCGAGGGGUAUAUGUCUUCGGAUAUAGAGACCGGCGCACGGGUGCGUAACGCGUAUGCAAUCUACCUUUCACAGAGGGAUAGCCCAGAGAAAUUUGGAUUAAUACCUCAUAGUAUUAUUGAGUGGCAUCACUUAAUAAUUAAAGUCACAACGGUGAAAGAUGAGCAUGCGUCCCAUUAGCUAGUUGGUAAGGUAACGGCUUACCAAGGCAACGAUGGGUAGGGGUCCUGAGAGGGAGAUCCCCCACACUGGUACUGAGACACGGACCAGACUCCUACGGGAGGCAGCAGUGAGGAAUAUUGGACAAUGGGCGCAAGCCUGAUCCAGCCAUGCCGCGUGCAGGAUGACGGUCCUAUGGAUUGUAAACUGCUUUUGUACGAGAAGAAACACUGCUUCGUGAAGCAGCUUGACGGUAUCGUAAGAAUAAGGAUCGGCUAACUCCGUGCCAGCAGCCGCGGUAAUACGGAGGAUCCAAGCGUUAUCCGGAAUCAUUGGGUUUAAAGGGUCCGUAGGCGGUUUAGGU